GUUCAUAGGCCAGUUUGGCCUGACCUCCAUAGACAUAAUAUAUGGAUAGACGCCUCAUGGGCCGCUCUCGCCUAUUGGAGCUGACGAGAUUUAGGGCGGCCAUCUUGGAGCGGUAUACCACUCCACUCAGCCUUAUAUAUUUGGCAGGCACAAUAAAGGAUCAGCGCAUUUAAUAGAUCAUAACACGCUGAAUAGUAAUCACAUUGUCACAUAAUUAAAUUUUAGGCAUACAGCUAUUAAAAUUGCAUGUAUAGGAACGUAUAGUUUAACAUAUUUAAAUAAUUUUGGUGGAAUACAAUGUUUUAAAGUAUGACAUGUUUUGCAAGAUACAACCAAAGAUGCAAUUUAUUCACACACAUUAUGUAUAUAUUCCGAUAAUCUCAUAUAUACACACAUACACACAUGCAUACUUAUCUGUUGUGACAGUAUUUACAUAUUCAUUACAUUUUUACACAAUCUAAUAGCCUUAUA
This is a long non-coding RNA of Xiphophorus hellerii (green swordtail), 471 nucleotides long. RefSeq lists it as uncharacterized. NCBI's taxonomy places the organism in Eukaryota, Metazoa, Chordata, Actinopteri, Cyprinodontiformes, Poeciliidae. The record is from RefSeq and is a predicted model, not a curated record. The transcript has 3 exons.